This is a long non-coding RNA of Pangasianodon hypophthalmus (striped catfish), 1352 nucleotides long. RefSeq lists it as uncharacterized. The record is from RefSeq and is a predicted model, not a curated record. The transcript has 3 exons. NCBI's taxonomy places the organism in Eukaryota, Metazoa, Chordata, Actinopteri, Siluriformes, Pangasiidae.
GUAAUACUAUCUACAUGAACUUCAAAUGAAACUAACACACACCAACACUACACUAACACACCAAAAUACAGUAAAUCACGUCAACACUACACUAACAUACACCAACAAUACACAUAAGCACACCAACAAUACACUAACACACACCAACACUACAUUAGCACACACCAACACUACAUUAAUAAUGUGACCUACACUAACACACACCAACACUACACUAACGCACACCAACACUACAUUAAUAAUGUGACCUAAACUAACACAUACCAACACUACACUAACACCCACCAACACUACACUAACACACACCAUCACUACAUUAAUAAUGUGACCACAGCUGCUUCACUGUGUCUGCAUUUCUUUCAAAUGGCACACGGUAUAGCUGUUUUAGAGACACCUGGUGCCUUUUCAGUAUGCGUGCAAUAGUCGGCAAACUUAUGGGUUCCACAUUGCUGAACGUGUCGUCAUUGUCCAAGAUGUUAAUGAUUUUGUCUUAUAUUGUGUACUUUAUUAUUAUUAUUAUUUCUUUUUUUUCCCCAAAUAUUUGUAUUCUUUGAAUUGUUUAUUUUUGAUAUUUUUCGUAUGAUGUUUAAUUUCUUCUUAAUGGCAAGUGCGCACAAACAUUUCAGUACGGAACGAGACCUAAGCGCACAUGGUUGUGGCGUCCAAAGUUCAUUAAAGGAUUAGAGGGAUUUAGCUCCUGGUUUGAAUGGAGAACAAGCUCUUACGUUGAUUCUCACCGAGUUACGGCUGCAUUCUACGUCUUAUGGCGUCCAACGAUGAUCUGGCUUUCAAAUAAAGUGUGGGAAUCAUCAGUCGGAGGGUCUAUCCUUUUUUAAGCCAGGGAGCUACACAAGAUGUGCUGCCGAAUGUCUGUUAGGCGAAUAUCGUUUCUGGCCCGAACCAUACUGACCACAGCCAACACUUGCUGGUCAGUCAAAACAACAUGGAGGAACAAUGAGGGCCUCUAGUGGCCGAAACACAAAACAGCAAGUCUGGGAUCCUGACACUGUGUGGAAAUCAAGAUCACUGUUUGAGAGUUAUAGAUCCACGCCCUUCCAUUUUGGGUGCAUACAGGAAAAAAAAGUAAAACCUUGGGAUGUGGGAUUUCUUUGUGACAUGCCUAUUAAAAAUCUCAAUUUGAGUGAAGUCUAGUGUUGUUCAGAGAACUUGUGUGAUAGGGUGUGAAGUCUGGAUCAAGCUGGAGCAGCAAUUUACUGUUGCUGAUGUAUUACCUAAUAUUGUCAAAAAUAUAUAUUUUCCCCAUAAACUAUAUAACUUACUCUUUGGAUUUGAGCUUGUCUUAAAUGAAGCUUUUAACAAUGAAAUGAGGCUGGUACUUAAUUUAUAUUUAC